RNAcentral lists this ribosomal RNA (134 nucleotides) under Castor canadensis (American beaver). Lineage: Eukaryota; Metazoa; Chordata; Mammalia; Rodentia; Castoridae. The record is from RNAcentral.
UCUAAGGCCAUACUGCCCUGAACACGACUGAUAGUGUCUGAUUUUGGGAGCUAAGCAGGGUCGAUCCUGGUUAGUACUUGGGUUCUAGAGAAAUCUUCUCAUGAACUUCAUUUAAAUGCUAGUGGUUUUUAAAA